Pseudomyrmex gracilis is the source of this 437-nucleotide long non-coding RNA. RefSeq lists it as uncharacterized. The transcript has 2 exons. The record is from RefSeq and is a predicted model, not a curated record. NCBI's taxonomy places the organism in Eukaryota, Metazoa, Arthropoda, Insecta, Hymenoptera, Formicidae.
UUCGAACAAGAGGUUGCUCAUUGGAAACCAGUGUUGGAAGCAAUAACCGAAGUGUGAUUCCAGAUUUGUUUUCAAAAUUUAAAUUAUUGUGCGAAAACACGAUGGAGAACAGAAAUAUUUUAUUUGGUGUAUGUUUAUUGGUUGCCGUUUUGAUAUCAAGUUUUAUCGCAAUGGUGUCUACCGAACCUAGUAUUUCAAUAUUCACAAAAUGUCUUCCAGGACGAUUAUGGAUUCCGAGAAUGAAGAAAUGUAUCCGAAUUCACGGCAUUUGACGAGACCAAUAGCAGAUACACAUACAUACGUUUCGAAACUAACGUAACGUAAAGGAUUACAAUCUGAGAAAUAAAACUCUUCUAUAUAAAUUUUUGCACUUUCGAUUUGUCAACGCGUUAUUCUGUCACUCGACGAUAUAUAAACACACAAAGUGCUACAAAUUA